This 388-nucleotide long non-coding RNA is filed under the name Rattus norvegicus (Norway rat). Its description in RNAcentral is "long non-coding RNA NONRATT024537". Lineage: Eukaryota; Metazoa; Chordata; Mammalia; Rodentia; Muridae. The record is from RNAcentral.
GGCAGUCCAGAAAAUGGAACUUGGCUGCCCGUACCAAAGUCGAGCCAAAUUAGAAAGAAUACCUCACCAAAAAUCUUAAUGGAGCUGAAACCACAAGUAGGGGAAGCCAUUACGUUUUCGUAGGAUUGUAAGGUCAUUGCUGGGAUUUUCUUUUGUCCCUAUGUCCCACUACCAGGUGACAAUCUCUGUGGAUGGCAUCCUAACAACAACAGGCUACACUCAAGAGGACUACACCAUGCUGGGCUCAGAUGACUUCUUCUAUGUUGGUGGAAGCCCAAGCACUGCGGACUUGCCAGGCUCACCUGUGAGCAACAACUUCAUGGGCUGCCUUAAAGAGGUUGUUUAUAAGAAUAAUGACAUCCGUCUGGAGCUGUCUCGCUUGGCCCGG